RNAcentral lists this ribosomal RNA (644 nucleotides) under uncultured bacterium. Its description in RNAcentral is "bacterial SSU rRNA". It matches the Rfam family "Bacterial small subunit ribosomal RNA", at positions 382 to 1022 of the family's 1533-position model. The record is from RNAcentral.
CCUGAUCCAGCCAUGCCGCGUGUAUGAAGAAGGCCUUAGGGUUGUAAAGUACUUUUGUUAGGGAAGAAAAGCUAGUUUUUAAUAAAAAUUAGUGAUGACGGUACCUAAAGAAUAAGCACCGGCUAACUACGUGCCAGCAGCCGCGGUAAUACGUAGGGUGCAAGCGUUAAUCGGAAUUAUUGGGCGUAAAGCGAGUGCAGACGGUUACUUAAGCCAGAUGUGAAAUCCCCAAGCUUAACUUGGGACGUGCAUUUGGAACUGGGUGACUAGAGUGUGUCAGAGGGAGGUAGAAUUCCACAUGUAGCGGUGGAAUGCGUAGAGAUGUGGAGGAAUACCGAUGGCGAAGGCAGCUUCCUGGGAUAACACUGACGUUGAGGCUCGAAAGCGUGGGGAGCAAACAGGAUUAGAUACCCUGGUAGUCCACGCCCUAAACGAUGACAAUUAGCUGUUGGGCUUUGAAAGGCUUAGUAGCGAAGCUAACGCGAGAAAUUGUCCGCCUGGGGAGUACGGUCGCAAGAUUAAAACUCAAAGGAAUUGACGGGGACCCGCACAAGCGGUGGAUGAUGUGGAUUAAUUCGAUGCAACGCGAAGAACCUUACCUGGUCUUGGCAUGUCGGAAUUUUUAAAAUAAAAAAGUGCCUUCG